AAAACCCCUUAAAAAUGGGAGGGGAGUUAAAAUAUCUUACCAGCCUCCAUUAGUCCUCACAGCACAGUUCCUGGAAUGUACUAUUACGCGAGAGAAAGCAAGGGAGAGGAAGGAGCGAUUCCCCCCCCCCCCCCCCGGGUCCUCAGCAAAAUGGGUACAUGCCAGAAAGUAUGCUGUGAGGUCUAAUGGAGGCUGGUUACGCAAUCCUGGUACCUAAGAUGUUCCUCAUGGAAAGAGAGCUUUCCAGAUCUCUUACCUUUUUGUUGACCUCCUCUGAACACAUUACAGCUCAUCAAACUCCUUUUUGAAUUGUGGUGCCCAGAAAUGGAUACAGUGCUCCAAGCCAGAAUAAUGAGGUACUAUUACUUCCCUUGGUCUAGAGAUACUAUACUGCUAUUGCUGCACAGAAUCACAUUUGCUUUUUAGCUGCUGCCUUACACAGUUGACUCGCGUUCUCCUUAUGGUCAGUUAUGGCUUCUAGAUCCCUUUAUGUUGUCAAGUCAGGUGUCUCACAUCCUAUAUCUGCAUUUCAUUUUUUCUGCCUAAUUGUAGUAGUUCUCCUUUUUCCCUGUUGAAAUUUAUUUUAUUGGUCAUGGGCUAUCUCUUUAAUUUGUUAAAGCCAUUUUUAAUUCUGAUCCUGGAGUAUUAGCUACCUCUACUAAUUUGGUGUCAUCUGCAAAUUUGAUAAACAUGCUCUCAGUUCCAUUAUCCAAGCGCCAGGACAAAACUCGAUGGCACCCCACUAGUCACUUCUCUCCAGAAUAAAGAGGAUUCAUUGGUGAAAACCCUUUGGGUUUUGUUGAUCAACAAAUCCACACUUUUCUUGUCCACAUUUUACUAGCUUGUUUGCAAGUCUAUCAUGGAGGAUCUUAUCAAGAAUAUUGUGGAGGGCUUUGUCUGGCAUGACUUGUUUUUGAGAAACCUAUGCUGACUUUUAGUGAUACCACACUCUUCUUUUCCAACAUAUCAAUUGGAAGCUGGCUGAUAUAGAGAACUUUCCAUCAAUCCUACUGGGAUUCAUCUCCUUCUUACUGAACAAGGAAGAAGUUUUUGUGCUUGUAAAUGCAUGUCCUUGCAAUGAUCCCAUGUGUUCACUGCUUCC
RNAcentral lists this long non-coding RNA (1102 nucleotides) under Anolis carolinensis (green anole). RNAcentral describes it as "lncRNA (ENSACAG00000043072.1)". The record is from RNAcentral. Lineage: Eukaryota; Metazoa; Chordata; Lepidosauria; Squamata; Anolidae.